GCUCGCAUCCCAUCGGCCCUGGCGCUCGGGGCGGAAACAGGCGCAGUGGUGACUUUCUGGCCUGCGGCGCCUAUGCUCCCCUAUCCCGGCUGACGUUGGACAACAAAGAUGGCGGCAGGAACCAGCAAUUACUGGGAAGAUCUCAGGAAACAGGCUCGACAGCUGGAAAAUGAACUUGACCUGAAACUAGUUUCCUUCAGCAAACUAUGUACAAGUUACAGUCAUAGCAGUGCCCGAGAUGGAAGACGCGACAGGUAUAGUUCUGAUACAACACCCCUUUUAAAUGGAUCAAGCCAAGACAGAAUGUUUGAGACAAUGGCAAUUGAGAUUGAACAACUUUUGGCAAGGCUUACAGGGGUAAAUGAUAAAAUGGCAGAAUAUACCAACAGUACAGGUGUCCCCUCCUUGAAUACGGCCCUGAUGCAUACAUUACAACGACAUAGAGACAUACUGCAGGAUUAUACACAUGAAUUUCAUAAAACCAAAGCAAAUUUUACGGCAAUACGGGAAAGGGAGAAUCUCAUGGGAUCAGUACGGAAAGAUAUUGAGUCAUAUAAAAGUGGAUCUGGAGUAAACAACAGAAGAACUGAGCUAUUUUUGAAAGAACAUGACCACCUUCGAAACUCAGAUCGUCUGAUAGAAGAGACAAUAAGCAUUGCUAUGGCAACAAAAGAAAAUAUGACUUCACAGAGAGGAAUGUUGAAGUCAAUUCACAGCAAAAUGAACACUUUGGCCAGAUUAUUAAUACUUCCCAGAAACUCACUAGGGAACCAGAAAAGCCUGGCACUCUGAGUCAUUUGAUUCGCCGAACCUCUGAAAAAGACAAGCCUUCUAGGUGAAAAAGCUUUCCUCCCCCAGCUGCCAAAUGGGGAGGGGCCUAGAAUUUUCAAAAUUGAGUAUCUUGUCGUCCUAGAUAAGUUAAGGUCACUUUUAGUUUGAUGUGUUUUUGCCUGAGGAAAAGACUAUCCUGAUGUGUGCUGUUAUUCUCCAGUCUGUUGUGAAUUCUGUUCUUGCCUUGUCACCCUAAGUAUAAAACUGCACGUACAAAAUCACAUUUUAUAUAGAGCUAUAAAAUUUACAGAGUGCUGUUAUAUACAUUAUCUCAUUUUACUAAAUUAUGAACUCAAUUGCCAGCCAGAACAAAAGCUAGUUAGUGAAUACAAGAGUUUUAUUUAGUGAAACUUUUGAAACUUUGGAAUAGAAGAGGGAGUCAAAUAACUGGUGAUGUGAAACACUGAAGCUUUUUUCAGUUGUUCCUUAAAACUUACCACACUCUUCUUCAUGACCUCUUCUCUACUACUCUGUACACUUCUCUAAGUUCUCUCUCUCUCUUUUUUUUUCUUUUUGCAUGUAUACUUUUUUUUUUUUUUUUUUGAGACAGAGUGUCACUCUAUCACCCAGGCUGGAGUGCAGUGAUGCAAUCUCAGCUCACUGCAACCUCUGUCUCCUGGGUUGAAGCAAUUCUCCUGCCUCAGCCUCCCGAGUAGCUGGGACUAUUGGCCAGGCUGGUCUCGAACUCCUGACCUUGUGUUCCACCCACCUUGGCCUCCCAGAGUGCUGGGAUUACAGGUGUGCACCACUGUGCCUCAGCCACUCUCUUUUUUUUUUUUUUUUUUUUAAGACAGAGUCUCACCCUGUUAACCACCCAGGCUGGAAUACAAUGGCACAAUCUCAGCUCACUGCAACCUCCAAACUCCCAGGUUCAUGCAAUCCUCCCGACUCAGCCUUCCGAGUAGCUGGGACUACAGACGUGUGUCACCACGCCUGGCUAAUUUUUGUAUAUUUUGUAGAGACAGGGUUUCACCAUGUUGACCAGGUGGGUCUUGAACUCCAAAUCUCAAACAAUCCUUCAGCCUUGGCCUCCCAAAGUACUAGGAUUACAGGUGUGAGCCACCCUGCCCAGCCCAACCCUAAGUUCUCUUAAGGCAAAGCAGUAUACUGCAACCUAGCAAAGUGCCUCAUACAAAUUAGUCACUUAGGAAAUUUACAGUUACUCCAAAAGAAUGUGUGUUCAAAAAAAGGAAAAUCAAACGAAAUGGGUGUGGGUUAGUCAGGGCCCCAAAGAGAGGUAGUCACAGUAACCUAAGACUGACUUAAGAGAGGAAAGAAAGGACUCAAUUUGUUCAUGUAACUGUAGAAUUCAGGGGUAAAAUUUGGCUUAAGGCAUAGCUGGAUUCAGAAGCUGAGAUUUUAUCAGCAAGAAUCUCCCUUUCCUCCCUCUUUUUGUUCCCUUUCUUUCCCAUCGCUUAUCUCAGCUUUCCUCUGUGUUAGUCUGUUUCUCCAGGCAGCCCUUCUCUGAGGGUGAUGAAGAUGGCUGUAAUAGGGUCCCAAGAAUCCCCUCGGAGAAAGGGUGUCUUCUAACAGUUGUCACAACUGUUCCCAAGAGAGCUGUGGUUGUCCAGCAUGAGUUACUACCCAUUCCUGACUCAGUCACUGGCCAAGGGGAGAGAAUAUUCUUACUAGCAAAUCCUGGAUUUGUAUGUAAGACCGAGGAAGAAGUCAGCCCUGCCCUGUUUCAUGGACUGAACUCAAUUACUAUAGACUGAGAAAGAGGUUUUCCUGAUGCCAAAUAAUUGCAUUUCAGUGGAUUUGUUAUCCUUUUAUUAAGCAAGAAAAUAUUAAGUGUUUUCUCUAUAUGCGAUUUUACUUUGUAGAAGUUUUUUGCCAUUAUUUCAGUACGUGCUUCUUGUUCUACAUUUUUAAAAUGUUUCUGCAAAUUGUAUGUUUGUUUUUUUUUUUUGAGAUGGAGUUUUGCUCUUGUUACCCAGGCUGGAGUGCAAUGGCGCGAUCUCGGCUCACCGCAACCUCCGCCUCCUGAGUUCAGGCAAUUCUUCUGCCUCAGCCUCCUGAGUAGCUGGGAUUACAGGCAUGCGCCACCAUGCCCAGCUAAUUUUUUGUAUCUUUAGUAGAGACGGGGUUUCACCAUGUUGACCGGGAUGGUCUCGAUCUCUUGACCUCGUGAUCCACCCGCCUCAGCCUCCAAAAGUGCUGGGAUUACAGGCGUGAGCCACCGCGCCCGGCCACUUUUUUUUUUUUUUAAAUUCAGAAAUUCAAAAACACACUAAUGGCUACAGUAUAUAAAGCUCCAUUCUAGACAUAAAGGGAAAUUCAAGAUUAGAAGAACACAUGGUUCUACUUACACACUAUGUAGAAUAUACAAGUAUACAAAUCUGUCUAGGCUCUGGUGAGAGUACUUUCACUACAGGAAAAUGCGGGGCAGACCACAAGGAGCAGGGGUGGUUCCGGCUCUCCAGAACCCCUAGGUGGUUUUUGUGGUUCCUUUUCCUGAACUUGGUAUAAUGCUUCUAUUAACAAAGAGGAUGUACCUGCAGGUAUAUUGUCAGAAACCACUGCCAGAAACACAAAACCACACAGGCACAAAACAAGACAGCUAAAGCAGUUUCGUCCACUUUCCUCCUGUGUAUCCUGCCUCCUGCUGUGAAGUAACUUUCAAAAUUGUAAUAAUUCACCAGUGCCCGAUUAUACAGACCCUAGAGUUGCUUCCCUCGAAUUGCCUUACUCCAAGGCAGGAAAGGAUCAGAGAGGCUUCUUCCAAAUAUGACCUUAAUAAAGAUUUCCCAAAGAUCGUUUUCCUGCUGUGAACAGCCUGAUCCAGAGGAUCAACCUGAGGAAGCGGCGGGACUCUCUCAUCCUGGGGGGUGUUAUUGGGAUCUGUACCAUCCUGUUGCUCCUGUAUGCGUUCCAUUGAUGGGACAUCUGCAGGGACUCUUGACUACCACCACUUUGACGCCAUGGUCUGGAAUAAGGCAACAUCGGAGCGAGAAGUUGACUGUCUUGAUAAUUAGCCUGACCGGCAGGAAGAAUGCAAGACUGACAGUGAUGGACUCUGUGACAUGGUCAGGUUGAGCUGAAGCCACAGUUUUUCUGUGCUGUCUUUUCUAACAUAUUUUUCUGUUUUUAAUUUAAAAAACAAAAAGGUUUUCAGUUGCUUUUGUCUCCCCAGGAGGCAAGUAAACCAAUCAAAAACAGAGUUUUCUUUGUUUCUGUGAUAGUGUUGAAACCUGAUGACAAGCCAGGUUUUACAGCUGGGCUCUUCAGAAAACCAGGUUUUCUACAUCCAAAGACUGCUUUUCUUUUACUCACCAGAUUGGAUUGUGAAUAACAAUAAUUCUUGUCCCCUUAUUUUACACUCAUGAUGAGAAAUCACAAGUUCUUUCUUGAUGAUCUGUGCUAUAGAUUUCUACUCUGUCUCCUCAACUCUGUUGAUAUUUGAGGAAAAUUCUGUUUUUCAUAGAUUGUUUGAGAUGCUGAUGGACCAACUUCAGCAUGUUUGAGGUUGUCUGAAAUGGAGAACACUGUAAAACUCUCUCUUUUUUCUUUUAAAUUACGAGUACAGUGGGGUUAACUGUAUUGCUGGAAAAACAUCAAGAACGACAGUCUUUUAUUUAAGGCACCAGUCACUGUUUCCAUUUUUUUAACACUUUUCCUUUGGAUUGAUAUUUUCCACUGAAAGGAGGUGAAAUCUCAGUUCCGCUGUGAUAGAAGAAAACAAUCACCAGGGUCUGUAAUUGUCCCCACUGUUCUCAUCAGACCAGGAUUGACACUGGGAACUGAGGAAAGGGACUGCUCCAUUUCUAAUGUGAUCUGUUCAAAGCCACACAGAAAAAGGUAUUGAGAGCUCACUGUUCAGAGAAUUCCAUGUGUAAAUGCUCCACAAUGUAUGGGCAAAAGUUUAAGGACUACUGCCUGAUGUACCAGGAAUUCUGUGUCCUGUGAAAAUCUGUUCAUUCCAAAUCUGUUUACCAUUUCCAAACAUCCAGAGAAUGUUUUCACUGUUGAGGGUGCAUGUGGCAGAAUCUGCCUCUCUCUGCACCUGUCUUCUGUUACCAUCCGUGGACAGUGACAGAUUUUAAACCAGCCACCAGAAUUCUUUUGAGUUAACCAUUUCUUAGUUUCUGUAAAUUCAUGACUUGUCUUACUGAACUACCACCUGGUUUGUAGAUUUCCAACAUCUACACUGCUGCUCUUCACCAUUGGAAUUCACUGUGGUAUUUAUAGUAUUGGCUUCAGUCCGAGCCACAGGGAAUAAAAGGAUAUCAGCAUAUAGUUCUCAGCUACAUCAUGGUGUAUAGAUGCUGUUAUUCAGGUGAACUUGCUAAUGGUGGGCUAACACCUGGUUUGGUACAGAGACUGAGAGGUUUUUCAUUCUGGUGUCAAAGUUUUGUUACAUUAUGGGUGUGAAGGGCAUUUGAUAUAUUUUUCUUAACUAUGGGGUUUAUUUUUCUAAAUAUGGGUUGAUUGACUGUUCAUUGAUUCAGGGUACCCUUAAAAGAAAGUUACAUUUUCCCAUUGUGAACCUUAAAGGAUCAGGGAAGAAAGUUGAUUGAUUAAAUUCUCAGUUGGGAGAACAAAAGCUUUUCUCCUCUGAUACUUUAUUAUCUUUGAUUUUUCAAAGGGCCUUGAUUGGUGGUUGUGUCUCGGUUAGAAUUUAUGGGACUUUGCUUGCUAUGUAGUUGGCAUUUAUAAAAUUUGAAGUAUCAUAAAUAAAGUUAUUUAUUUAAUUAUA
Molecule: non-coding RNA, 5527 nt
Organism: Callithrix jacchus (white-tufted-ear marmoset)
Lineage: Eukaryota; Metazoa; Chordata; Mammalia; Primates; Cebidae
Source: RefSeq, a predicted model, not a curated record